This 65-nucleotide transfer RNA is filed under the name Dipodomys ordii (Ord's kangaroo rat). It matches the Rfam family "tRNA". From Rfam's summary of the family: Transfer RNA (tRNA) molecules are approximately 80 nucleotides in length. The record is from Rfam by way of RNAcentral. Lineage: Eukaryota; Metazoa; Chordata; Mammalia; Rodentia; Heteromyidae.
GGUGGCUCAUUGGUAGAGCACUUGCUUUGCAUGCAUGAGGCCCUGGGUUCGAUUCCUCAGCACCA